GAGGGUGUAGCUCAAGUGGUAGAGCUCAUGCUUAGCAUGUAUGAGGUCCUGGGUUCAAUUCCCCAGUACCUCUU
Molecule: transfer RNA, 74 nt
Filed under: Camelus bactrianus (Bactrian camel)
Lineage: Eukaryota; Metazoa; Chordata; Mammalia; Artiodactyla; Camelidae
Also listed under: 2 other names
Rfam family: tRNA
About the family: Transfer RNA (tRNA) molecules are approximately 80 nucleotides in length. Their secondary structure includes four short double-helical elements and three loops (D, anti-codon, and T loops). Further hydrogen bonds mediate the characteristic L-shaped molecular structure. tRNAs have two regions of fundamental functional importance: the anti-codon, which is responsible for specific mRNA codon recognition, and the 3' end, to which the tRNAs corresponding amino acid is attached (by aminoacyl-tRNA synthetases). tRNAs cope with the degeneracy of the genetic code in two manners: having more than one tRNA (with a specific anti-codon) for a particular amino acid; and 'wobble' base-pairing, i.e. permitting non-standard base-pairing at the 3rd anti-codon position.
Source: Rfam by way of RNAcentral